GAAGGCUUUUAAAGGGGCAGCGAACUUUGGUUCGCGUGCGGGCGCGGAAUCCGGGGAGGAGGUGGCGGCUGUUUCCGUCUCGGACGGAGGUAGGGGAAGACUCCCUGGCAGGUGGGCCCCACCUGCGGGACCCACGCGUCAGCGGCUGCGGGUGGAGUGGAGCUGGGCUGGGGGCCCGGCUGGGCCGCUGCUUGCCCACGCGGGCAGAAGGCGGGGGAGAGGGGGAGGCGCGGGGCGCUGGGCCGAGAGCCGGCCCAGGUGAGGGCUCUCCCUUUUUCUUUUUUUUAUUUUUGUAAAAC
Molecule: long non-coding RNA, 299 nt
Filed under: Sorghum bicolor (sorghum)
Lineage: Eukaryota; Viridiplantae; Streptophyta; Magnoliopsida; Poales; Poaceae
Description: long non-coding RNA (SBIC_LNC002726)
Source: RNAcentral